AACGAACGCUGGCGGCAGGCCUCAUACAUGCAAGUCGAGCGGACGGACCCCUUCGGGGGCGAGUUAGCGGCGAACGGGUGAGUAACAGGUGGAUGAUCUGCCUCCCGGUGGGGGAUAACGGCUGGAAACGGCCGCUAAUACCGCAUUCGGUUGAUGCGUUGCGGCGCAUCAAAGAAAGGCGCUUCACGGCGCUGCCGGGAGAUGAGUCCGCCCCCCAUUAGCUAGUUGGCGGGAUAACAGCCCACCAAGGCUUCGAUGGGUAGCCGAACUGAGAGGUUGAUCGGCCACACUGGAACUGAGACACGGUCCAGACACCUACGGGUGGCAGCAGUAGGGAAUAUUGGGCAAUGGGCGAAAGCCUGACCCAGCCAUGCCGCGUGAGUGACGAAGGUCCUAUGGAUUGUAAAGCUCUUUUCUGAGGAAAGAACAUCCGGGGUAGGAAAUGACCCCGGCUUGACGGUACCUCAGGAAUAAGGAACGGCUAACUCCGUGCCAGCAGCCGCGGU
RNAcentral lists this ribosomal RNA (506 nucleotides) under uncultured bacterium. Its description in RNAcentral is "bacterial SSU rRNA". It matches the Rfam family "Bacterial small subunit ribosomal RNA", at positions 29 to 521 of the family's 1533-position model. The record is from RNAcentral.